UAAUUUGUUCAAGUCCACCGGUUGGACGAU
Molecule: small RNA, 30 nt
Filed under: Bombyx mori (domestic silkworm)
Lineage: Eukaryota; Metazoa; Arthropoda; Insecta; Lepidoptera; Bombycidae
Description: ovarian small RNA-19971
Source: RNAcentral